AAUAGAUACCCUGGUAGUCCACGCCGUAAACGAUGAGUGCUAGGUGUUAGGGGGUUUCCACCCCUUAGUGCUGCAGCUAACGCAUUAAGCACUCCGCCUGGGGAGUACGGUCGCAAGACUGAAACUCAAAGGAAUUGACGGGGGCCCGCACAAGCGGUGGAGCAUGUGGUUUAAUUCGAAGCAACGCGAAGAACCUUACCAGGUCUUGACACCCCGCUGACCGCCAUGGAGACAUGGCUUUCCCUUCGGGGACAGCGGUGACAGGUGGUGCAUGGUUGUCGUCAGCUCGUGUCGUGAGAUGUUGGGUUAAGUCCCGCAACGAGCGCAACCCUUGUCCUUAGUUGCCAUCAUUCAGUUGGGCACUCUAAGGAGACUGCCGUACAAAUACGGAGGAAGGUGGGGAUGACGUCAAAUCAUCAUGCCCCUUAUGACCUGGGCUACACACGUGCUACAAUGGGCAGUACAAAGGGCUGCAAACCCGCGAGGGGGAGCGAAUCCCAAAAAGCUGCUCUCAGUUCGGAUUGCAGG
RNAcentral lists this ribosomal RNA (528 nucleotides) under uncultured bacterium. RNAcentral's name for it is "bacterial SSU rRNA". It matches the Rfam family "Bacterial small subunit ribosomal RNA", at positions 777 to 1304 of the family's 1533-position model. The record is from RNAcentral.